CACCAUAUAGAGUGGGAUAGAUUUCAUACUUCAAAACCAUGUAAUGUGGUAUUUGGGCUUUCUUGAUUCAUUGUUUUUACGUGUUUAAUAAGCUUUUGUGAUUUUGGAAGUGCAUUUAAUUAGUGGAUAAUAUAUUGGUCAUCGAUUUCACAUGUCACGAAGUGUUAAUCUCUUCGACACUUGGAUUUUCUUGUCUUACACUGUGAAAAAAAUCUGAUUUUCAUCCUAUUAUUUCAAAUAUUACAAUUUCGAUUCUCUCACUGAUCUUUAGCAUUUUUAAAUUACUACCAAAUCUCUCUAUAUAUCCCUUUAUUUUGAAGAAAUCAAGAUGCUUCCAUAGGUAUUGUGUUUUUUCUUCUUUUUGAUAUUUCUAGAUCGAAUACUUUUCAUAUAGAGCGUCAUAUCUUGCCAAUUUUUUAUUAUCUCUCUUUAAAGUUUUAUUAUAAUAAACUAUACUUAUAACACACUAAAAAAUGUUUUUAAAUGAGCUUUAAAAAAGGUAUCUAUAUUUAAGAAUCCAAAGAUGUGCUUUAACAUGCCACGUCUUUUUAAUUUACUGCAGAAUAGAACUUGAGCAUCUCAAGAUAAAAAUACGAUAUUUUUCAAAUUAUAAAAUGUUAAUCUUCGAGUCUUUUUGAGUAUUGAAAUAGACUUAAAAAAAUAUAAAAUAGUGUUCAGUUCCAUUUCUAAGUCAUCUCAUUUAGUAAGUAUUCAUUUUAGUGACAUUUAUGUCACAAUGCAAUUUUUUCAGUUGAAAAUCAAGUUGAACAUUUCUCAAUAAAGAAUUUAUUUUUAUCAAUACUCAAAAAAUUUCUCCUUAGAAUAUUGUGUUGAAAACUAGACUUAAAACCAAAUCUUAACAUCAUAGUGGGAAUCUUAAAUAAUACUUUUCUUUAGAGAAAUAAAUAAGUGAUAUUUACGUCACAAAAUAAAUGUUGUAGAAUUCCAGAAUGAACACUUUUAGUAAAAUUGUCCUUUAUCUCUACCAUCAUGGAGUUUUCAUUUCAAACCAAUUUUGUUUGAAUGUAGACACAUAAUAAUAACACAUAUAUUUCCACAAACUUUAUAUCACUCUGUUAAGUAGGCUUGAUAAAUAUUGCUAUUCAUGUAUUCAUUAAAAGACAAAUACCAAAUUGCAGAAAAUUCUGGAUAACCUCUUUUCAAUUCAAAAUUUUUAUUCCACUCUUCUCAUAGAAAUUUUUCUUUCAAAUAAAAUUUAUUAGAAAUUAGACUCAAAAUGGAAGUCUAAAAACUUAGUGUAAGCCAUAAAAAUCUCUGUUAAGAUUAGAAAUAAAAUCUUGACUUCUAAUUCAUGGAAAUAAAUUUUUUUUUAGAAAACAGCACUUGCGUACCUUUUCAUAAAUCGAUCAUAUCUUUCAAACCACAAUGAAUUUUUUGAUAAAAAUUUUUUUGUCUGAAAAGUAGACUCAAUUUUAUAAGUCACAAUAAAAUUUCAGCAGAAAAUAAAAUCAUAUAAUUGGUGGGUAAAUUCAUGGAGCUCAAUAGACAUUUUCUAGAUUUUGUUGGUUCAGAACUGAGACUUUUCAAUGACGAGUUCAUAAUUUUUAAUUCCUUUAGGAUCUCCCACUGUAAUUUUGUAGGUAGAUCCUACUCUUAAAACAAUAUUAUUGAAGUACGUAAUAGAAAAAUACAUCAUUAUCUUCUUCAUAUCACUGCUUCAAAAUAGUUCAGUAUGCCUAUUUUGUAGUGUGCUUUUUAAUGUUUGAAUAUUCAAUGAUUCUUAACCGUGGGUGUAUUACUUGAUCACAAAGGUCAUUAGCUUUUAUAUAUCUCAUUCCCAAGCUUGAUCUAAACUCUCAAUAAAGAGAAAAAUAUAACUAAUGACAUCAAGUAUCAAUAGUUCUGAUACCAAUGAAAGAAAGACUAAUGCGAUCUUGUUGGGGAAUGUAUUUUUUUAAUUUUUAUUUUUUUAUUUUUUAUUUUUUAUUUUUUGGCAAAGAUCACCUACAAGUAGUCUUAUUACAAUAAUUCUUGCUUCAAAGAAAAUAAAACUAACAAAUUCAUGAUCUUAAAAACCUUGAUGCUAUUAAACGAAUUUUCUUUAAACAAAGAAAAUAUCUACAAUUUUUAUGCUUGGGAAUAUAACAAGAAAUAAAAAAAAGAGAAUGUCGGAGAUUAUUUUAACCAGGUUUAUUACAUCCCAUACCGAGUUAGCAAUAUCCGAUAGCGUGGGGCGUGCCUCUAUGGGAGAGAGAGGAGAGAUAGAGUUGUGGGAGGGAAAAAAGUGUAGAGUAUAGGGAGAGUGUGCGCCUCUAUUUAUAGAAAAAAACUUAGGUUUAGAGUUUCUUAAUGUUUCUCAUAAUUUGCCUCUUUUUGGAGAGUAAUUAUGGAUUUUUGAUCAAUGUGAUUUGUGGGGUGAGAGAUUUGAGUUAUCCAUUCUACAGAUGUGCCAUCAACAUUAUGGAAGGUGCUUUGAUCAUUAUCUCCCUUUUCUUAAACUAUUUUCCCAUCAACAUAUUUAAAUAAAUAGAAUGUUAUUUAAAUAUUAUUCAUUGCAUAAAAUAACAUCUUAUUUAUCAUACUAUUUAAAGAAAUGUGUCAAGAUAUGCUUUUAACAUUUACGAUAAGAUGUGGUCAAUCUUUUCUAUAUCUAAUAUUCGAUCACAUGCCACAAGAUACAUUUUCUAAACUUAAAUAGCUUGACCACAAAGCAAAUAACCAAAAGGUAGGGUGUGCCACCCAUGUGUUGUACGUGUGGGCCCCAUCCACAUGGUACAUGGUGGGCCCAUGUGCACUAUGGAACCUCAUGAUAUUUAACAAAUUAAUUUAUAAAAUAUUAUUUGAAUUUUAUACUUUUGUAAAAUCUAUAGCUUUAUUUUUAUAAGUUCAAAAAUUAUAAUUAAAAUAUCAAUAGACUUAUAAAAAUUCAAAUAAUAAUUUUAAAUCAAUUUCUGUCAUAAAAUAAAUAUAAUUAAAUUAAUAUAACGAGAAAUGGAUCCCUAUGGUUUAAGAAUUGAAUUAACAAUCAUGGGACACUCCACCUUCAACUGUGGACUACGGAUUACACUUGCUUUAUCUGACCGAUCUAGUAUUUUCAAUGAUCCUUAGUUCAAGUAGAGGCUCAUUAGUGGGUUACUAAAGCCUGAUCAAUGAGCCAAGGGGUCGCAAUUCCAGUAUGUGAAUUUCAGGUCAUCCCCUAGAAACGAAUAAAGGUCACUAAGACCUUAUGCGACCACAACUCUAUAGCGUAUAGGAAUAUAUCUCGUACAUGUAUAUGCUUUACCCUAAAAGGUGGAUAUCUGGUUUUUCCGAACAAUCUAUUGAUAUGCAUGUCGUGUAAUGGAUCAUAGAUGAGGCUUUGGACACCGUCUCUAUCGACCCACCAUUACGAAUAAGGGUCACACAGUCCCUCAGCUCAUUCAUUUAGGCAUAAGCUUCGACUUCAUCAAAGGAUAAUUUAGAAUUCUUCUUGAUUUGUUCUCUAUACUUAGAUACAGAGUUUUUCAACCGACUGGCCUAGAUCGUUAAGUACAGUCUGGUAUUAGCAAACAUCGUUUGCAUAGUAUGGUCUACGAUGUGUCACACUCUCAUUAAGUUCAUGUUCUACUUUAUUGUUUUAUUUUACAAGCACUCAUAAGGUCUUUAAAUGUCACAUAAACCCAACACUAUGACUACAUAUACGGGUUAGGUAUGGCUGGACUUAGUCCCAAAUAGUAUUAGGGUCCAAAAUUUGGACUCGUACUCGGACUAGAGGUUGAGUCAACUCGUUGGGUCUCGCGUCGGGUCUGUCCAUUGUCACCCUUAUUUGGGUCGACCUAGUUUGGACAAUAAAACCAACAUUCUAUUUAUAUAAAAAAUAAAUAGACAAUCACCUAGAUUUUUCUAUUUUUAUUUUUAAAUUAAAAUAUUAUGAAGCUAGAUUUUUUUGCCACCAUGUCAUGAUUUCAAAAUUCAUAUAGUAGAUAACUACUUCAAAACAUCAAUUUAUUUUUCAUCACAUCACAAACAACAUCAAAUACAUGACAAUUGGUAACCUAAGAGCAGAGAGCUAAGACCCAUGUCAAAAACUAAUAUUCUUUUCCUACUCAACUCUAGAUAGAGAGAGAGGAAACUCUCAUUAAAUAAUGGUUGGAAACUCCACUUGAAUGUUGAACAGACAUUCAAACACGAAACCACGUCUCCAUAUUCACUUAUUUUUACAGGAAAAGAGAAAUUCAUAAUGCAUUACCUCUAAAAAAAUGUUAUUUAUAAUGAUCUUUAAUGAUUUGUUUUGAAAAUUUGAAGGCCAGAUCUAAUGGAUUCGGUCAAUUCUCUAAUCCAAAUUGCUGAUUUGCUAAAAUAACCUAUUUUUUAGGAUGGACGAUCUGGGUCAUUGAUCCGUUUUUUGAAUACUUGAAGAUAAUACAUCAUUCAAUAGGAAAUAUUUAUUCUCCACCGUCUAUUGCUUGGGAAUAAAAAAAUCCCUAUAUUGUACCAUGCAUGCCUCAUAAUAUAGAGUGAGGUUUGUAUAAGGUUUUUCCACCUUAUACUAUUGGAGUAAGGUGUGCCUCAAAACUAUGUUGAAAAUGCAGUUUUGGUGCCGCAUAGCCUUGAGAUGAUUUAAAAAUCUAUUUUUACCCCCAAUUAUAAAAUUUAAAGUUCUUGAAAUAGUGGCGAUCAAGCGGAUCUAUAAACACUUGAAAAUCUUGAAAAUGAAUGGUCCAUAUAAUAUGUUAGAAGAUAAACUACUUUUAGGACUAGAAAUCUUCCCCCCACCCCUUCUUUUUUUUUUUUUUUUCCUUUAUGUUUAUGAAUUUUGUGGUUAAAAUAAUUGAUUUGAGGAUUUUCUAGAAUAAGAACAACCUUCACUAGUAGAUUGUUUAGGUGCACCUUAUCGGUACAGUAUAAGGUUAAGACCUUAUAUUAACAUUUUCCUGUAAUAUAUCCUUAGUGUUUGGUUUAGCUUUUCAACAGUUUUGUACGCCAUUGUUCGUUACAUAAACAUGAACAUCUAUGUCAGUGCUUGAUAUUGUUUAAAAUGCUAAUCUCAAAAAUUGGGCUUUCAGACCCAAAAUAAUUGUACACCAUUUUAACAGGGGUUAGGUAGAAUUACAACACGGAAUUUAGACAUCUCUUGUUUCUUUUUUGUCGAACUUUUUUUCUAUACGGUCUUUCUACGAAAAACUUCAGAAAUUUGAAAAUCCAAGGUUGUUCCUUAAUUAGAAGAACUUUGGAUUUUGAAAAUCCAAGGUUUUUUGUCCUCAAUGUUUCCAGGUAUUUUUAUUUCUCAAUGACAUUUUAAGAGACUUUGAUGUACUGUGGACUCUUGAAAACCGAAUUAUAGGUUUUUUUAUCCUUUUAGGAAAAUAGUGAACAUAUUGGGUAUGAGUGUAGUAAUGUAUAUGUUAAAAAGGAGAAUUAUGAAAUAGCAAUACUUUAGAUAGAUUUGCUCGUUAAUUACUUUAUUAAAAGUGGAUGAGGUCUAUAAGGUGUAGGCUUUAUGAAAAUAAAAUACAGCAUUGCUUCAAAUUCUCGUAUGGUUACUUUUGGCAACAUAAAUCUCCAUGAUGGUUCUAAUAUCAAUUUCCAACACUGAUAAGGGAAUUCGAAACUCAAAAAAUAAUACUGAUUUUAUGGAUUUAUAAAACUUAUUUUUUAGAGUGAAAUGGAUGGUCUAAAUAAUUUAUUAUAGUGCAAACUUUUUUUAGAGUUUGAAAUCUUUUUUUUACUACUAUGUUCAAGCCAAAAUGAUCCAUAUAAAGAAUUUCUAAUGCUUGAAUUCCAAUUUUUAAUGGGUUAUUAAGUGAGGCUGUACUAAUUUUAAUAGGUCUGCAGCCCUAUCAAACCAUUUUCCUUUCCCUAAAUUAAGAUCCUUAGAACUUAGACAGUGCCACGUGGCAAGGAACUAUAUCAUGUCGACUAGGAGUCUUCUCUCUAGGUUCAAUGUAGAUAAAACUCCCAUUUCCACUUCUGGCAAAUUUCCUGACCUCUUUUAAGAGGAGUUACUCUUCAAAAGCUGGAGUCCUUAUAUAAGGCAACACAUAACCAGUGUCAACUUCUUAAGUAACUCCCUACUCAAACAAUGGAGUUUUCAGUGUCUUUGCUUUGGAAUUCAGUUCGAAAGAGAAGGGUCAGGGCUAGGGUUUUGGAAGAGCAAAGGGUGAGGCUCUACAUAAUCCGACGGUGCUUGAUCAUGCUCUUGUGUUGGAGGGACAGUCGAGAUUAAAGGCACGUAUGCUUCUCCCUGUAUAUGUAUGCUUAUAUGUGUGUGGAAGUUUUCAUUGCAACAGAUUUCUACAUUGUCGAUAUGUAUCUGAAAUUUCAUUCUAAAUGCUCUCACUCUCUCACUCACAUAUAUAUAUAUAUAUAUAUAUAUAUAGAAAACUUAAAAAAAAAAGCUUAUAGGUGACUUUGAAUGUUUUACCCGACUACAUACAUGUUAUGUCUGUGGCGGUAUAUCGAGCGGAAUUGCAACAGACGAAAUGUGGUUUGGGGUGGUUUUUUCAUGUUUUUUUAUUGCUAUGGACAUGUUAUGUUUAUGAUGGGAUAUCGCCACGGACAUGUUAAGUCGGUGGUGGUCUUCAGUCCUCGCCAUAAAAAAAAUUGGAUGGUGUUGAGACUAUAGGUGAAAAGAUUGUUCAUUUUCGCCCAUAGGCAUUGUAUGGUGGCUUCCUAUAUAUAUAUACACACACACAUAAUGUGAUCAUUUCCCUUUGGUACAAGGGCAUCACAAUUAUUUAUGACCAUCCGAUGUGUAUUAUAUAUCUUGGGUCUUCUAUAUAAUUUGUUUUGAAAUUUGAGCUUGGUCAACGAAAAUCGUAUAUUAACAAUUAAAUUAGAGCCCUUCUCAAAAAUUUCACUAAAAGAUGUUGUUUUGAUGCUCAGAUAUCCUCAAAUUGAUCAUCUCGACAUAAGAUGCACGGACAUGAGAAAAAAAUGGAUGUCAAGUUUUGAAAAUAAUACAUCUUGUAACGCAUUUUUGAACCUUUAAUUUUCAAGGUUUUCAACUUUUCAUAAAUCUACUCGAUCUACACCAUUUUUGAAAACUUUAAAUUUUAUUAUUAAAGAUGAAAAAUAUUUUAAGGCUAUCACAAAGAUUUCCAGUAUUAUAACCACAUUUUUCGCUUUACUUUGAUUGUUUAGAGCGUCAGUUCUAUACAAACUGCACCGUAUUUUUUAUAUAUGGGCAGCUGGUUUCCCAUUGGGAAAGGCAGCCAAUCCAAAAUUAUAAGGAGGAAAACUAAAAGAAAAGUGAAUAGAGAAUGCACACAAAAAGAUAAAGAGUGAAAAGCUAGGAACCGUUUGCUUUCCUUUUGUGUUUUCAGAAGAAAAUUUUUAAAAUUUUUUGAGAGACAUUAUUGAGCAUUUUACAUAUUUGGGACUAUUCCAACUCAUAUCAUAUAACACGUAUUUUGAAAUUGAAUCAAUAACAUGUUAAAUAAUCCAUCUGUUAUACAUUCAAUAAAAAUAAUGCAUCUAUUGUAGGAGGCAUUCAUAUACAGGAUACUGCAUCCCAAAGGUCACCCUUUUGUUAUUAUAUGAGGAACCCAGUUUUAUUUUUGCAAUGGAUUUUAAGACUUAAUUUUUAAAGAUACGUAAUCUCUAACAUAGAGAUUAUGAAUAUGAAAAAAUAAACUAAUUUUAAAACCUAGAAAUAAUAAUUCUAGGAAAAAAAACAUUUGGACCAUUAGUUUCCAUUGUUUUUAGAUGAAACACUUAUUUGCAGAUGGACUGCAUAUGCAGAAAUACUGUCCAACCCGCAUGGAACAAUUUUCUUUAUUCCAGACCUAUAUCUACUUGGAGAAGCAAUGGCCUGUUGGAGGCAAUGGCUUUUAGUCUCUUCCUUUAAAGAAACAAAUCUUAUUCAAACUUAAGUUUCUAUAUGUUCAAAAUAUUUUUGAAUUUAUUAGCCGAUCUCAAAUAGUUGGAAAAAAUCUGACCUUUUAACCACUUAUUGAUUCUUUCAAAAUGUCCUUUAAACACUCCCUAAUUCCGACUAACACAAAGAACCAAAAUCGAUCCGACUAACACAACCAUAAUCCAUUCUUACAGGUGCUUCUUUCUCCAUACACCCUAACCGGAAACCAAAACCGAUUUCCGCAUCCAAAGAAAGUUGAAAUACAAAGAGAUAAAAAAGAAAAAAAAGUUAAUGAUUAUUGUUAUUAUUAUUGAUAUGUAAAAGGCCUUCAUCAACCACGAGCACCUACACAUACAAAACAAAAAUAACAAAAUAAACCCUGGUUUUGUAGAGAGAGAGAGAGAUCAGUCAAGAUACUAACCGGGGCCGCAUUUGAUUUCACACUUGCGCUCGCAGCGAGCUUGUAGGCGUUCUGCAAUUCAUAAAGUGAAUUCAUAAAGUCUAAGCUUCUAUUCUCACUUAAUAUAUUAAAAAACCAUUAACGAUUUUAAAAAUGGGUAGGAGCAUGUCAUCCUCACUGAAAGGUUUAUCAUUGAAAUUCCAACAAAAAAAAUAAAUGUAUAGAAAAAUAAAUUAUUUAAAAAGAGCAAAAAAAACAAAGGAGGUUUAUAGAAAAUAAGGGCUUACGAUUCUUCUGAACACAGGCAGUGGUACAGGCAUCAUAGCACCAAAUAGGCUCAUCCGCUCUCCCCAUUGUUUGAACAGACAGUAUUACCAGAGCCACCAAAAAGAACACCUCCACUUUCUUCAUCUCUAUACGUCUCUCUCUAAAAACCAACUGAUUUAAAUCUCUAUGCUGAAUUGCAGUCUCUAUUCUCUCUCCUCCAUCAAAGCUUCAUACUUUACUCUUCUAUAAAGUAAAGUCCAGGUGGGGAGAAUCAAUCAGAUCCAUGGGUGGGACUGCCUGUUUGUCUCUCUCUCUUUAAGUUUGAUAAAGCUCUGACAUAGUCAAUGUGGUUUGGACACUUGCGAUCAUGAACGCCCGAUGAAACGGCGGACGGUAGUGUAGAUAAAAGCAUAUGCUCGGAACAAAACAACCUUGCCAUUUUUCUCGAACUUAUUGACACGUUGUAAGUAUUUGUAGCCUCUUUAAUUCUUAAUGUAAAUGGUUUCGUUGUAUACAAUCUAUAUACAAUCUUAAAAAUAUAUAUAUAUAUAUAUAUAUAUAUAUAUAUAUGAAACUAUUUACCUUUGGUACAAAGUGGUCACAAUAAAUUUUGAUCAUUGGAUUUAAAAUUGAAUUGUGGCAUUUAUUUUUUUGAUCAAGCUCAAAGUUCAAAAUAAAUUUUUUCAAACUUUGUGAUACACCCAAACUAUUCCAAAAGUAAAUGGUCUUAUAUAUCAUCCCUUUUGGUAUAAAAUCGUUACUCAAAUGUUACAGUUUAAAGGAAAAAGUUGAUAUAAGGGUGAAGCCCUAAAUAAUCAAAUUAAGGUGCACUCCAAAUUUAUACUAGAAAAGGUUAUUUUGAUAUUGAAAGACCAUUAGUUCGAUCAUUUUGAUUUCGCGAUGUAUGGACAUAAAAAAACUAGAUUUCAAAUAUGAGAAAUAAUUCAUAUUGUAAUGUGUCUUCUAGACCGUAAAUUUUCAAUAUUUUCAAGUGUCAUAGAUAUAUUUGAUUCCGACUAUUUUUUAAUAUUUAAAUAUAAUAAUUAGAGUUGAAAAUAAAUUUUCAGGCCAUCAUAAGGAUUUUUUAUGAUGAAACAACAUAUUUCGACAUUAUUUGAAAGUGUUAUUUUGAUUGUUUGGGGCCUCAGCCUUAUAAAAACCCCAACCCGAUUUAAAAGAUCCCAAUCAAGGUUUAAAAAAACACUCGGAUUGGCCACCCAAAAAAUCAUGUUGGAUUAGUAGAUCAGAGAUUUGGAUAGGAAAAUCGGUCACAUCCGCAAGAGCCGGUAAUGUAGAGGAUGGGUGGUUUAUAUAAGAUUUUCAUAACCCUGCACUUUGAGUUCUCCUUGAAAUAUAAGUAGGAAGAAGAAGUAUGUUGAUUUUUUUUAAGGAAAAAAAUUAUAUAAAGGUGAGGCUCUAAACAAUCAAAUUAAGGCGUACCUCAAAAGUUCGCCAAAAGGAUAUCUCCUUGAAAUAUAAGUAAGAAGAAGUAUGUUGUUUUUUUUUAGGAAAAAAUUUAUAUAAAGGUCAGGCUCUAAACAAUCAAAUUAAGGUGUACCUCAAAAGUUCGCCAAAAUGAUUUGUUUUGAUAUUGAAAAACCUUUAAUUCAAUCUUCUCGACAUCAAGAUGUAUGAACAAGGGAAAAAAUUGAUUUCAAAUCUUGGAAACAAUGUAUCGUGUCAUGUAUUAUCUUGACCGUUACUUUUUAGGAAUUUUCUAUGUUUAUAGAUCUGCUUGAUCUACAUUAUUGUUAAAAAAUUUAUAUUAUAUAAUUAGAGAUAAAAAUAAGUAUUCAGACGAUCAUAAAGAUUUUUGAUACUGAAACAUUAUGUUUUGGUACUAUUUGAAGAUGUUUUUUACUUUAAUUGUUUAGAGCCUCGACUUUAUACAAACGACUACUUUUCUUUUAUGGCUUCAACAUAUGUAGUCUUCGAUUACGUACAUCAUGUAGUAAUUUGAUAAUGGAAAGGUUCUAUACUUUCCCUACAACAUAGAAGAUACAUACUCCCCCCAUCCAACUAUCCAAUUGAGAUCAAGUGAGCCACUGAUCGUUUGAUCUAUAGACCCGAUACCUUUGACCAUUUUAUUUUUAGUUUUUUUUAUAAAUUAUAUGAAAAUGAAAUUUGGUAGGUUCCUUAUUCUCAAUGGGACGAACUUAAAAAGACUAUUAAAAAUAAUUUUCAAAAUACCUCUUGAAUAUUUCAAAAAUAUUUUGGUCAUUUUAUUUUAUUGGGAAUAUGAAACUCACCAAAUUUUUUCUUGUGAUAGUGUGUGCCUUCUUCAACUCUUAUGCCUUUAAAGGAGAUAAAUGUUCUCCCUUUAUAUAUACACACAAACACGCCCACGGUAUUUUCCUAGGGGUGGCAACGGAUAGACCAAAUAAAAAUUAUAGGACCCUGAGCCAACCACCUGAAGUUGUCGGAUCCGGACCCAAUUGGACUUUAGACCUUACCGGAUCUUAGACCUUACCAAAAAAUAAAAGGGAAAUUAUUAUAAAUAAACCUAGCCCACACUCUUUUUUUUCAAAUUUGGGCUUUUUUUUACCAAAAUAACUUUUGUGGUAGUCAUAUUACUGUAAACAUAAAUACGGUAAGGAGUUGAAGCAUUAUUAUGGCACUCGAAAUUUAGUAAUAGUAUCGCACCCUAUAAACCCUACCCUAUCCGAAACCCUUGUUUCUUUACAGUUCUGUUUGUAUUUAUCUCUCUAAUUCUUUUUAUAUUUAUCUUUUCUACCUCUCUAUUUUUUUAUAUUUUUAAUAUCUAUCUCUUAUUUCUCUCUCAAAAUCUUUUAUCUUUCAAUCUUUAUCUCUUUGGAAGUUUAGAAUGGGAAAGAAGAGAUAAAUAUUAAAAAGAAUUAGAGAAAGGAAGAUGUGGUAAAUAUAAAAACAAUUAAAGAGAAAAAAGAGAUAAAUACUAUCUAAAUCUUUCUCUUUGACCGUUUAAAGAGAAAAAAGAAUAGAUAAAUAUUAAAAAGAGUUAGAGAGAGUGAGAAGAAAUAAAUAUAAAAAGAAUUAGAGAUAUAAAUAUAAAUAGAACCUUAAAGGAGAAAAGGAACUCCUUACGGUACUUAAAGUACAAUAAUGGUGCUUCACUGUAAUACUACACCAAAAAUUGAAAAAAAUGGUGUGGGUGAGGUUUAUGAAAGUUGAGNNNNNNNNNNNNNNNNNNNNGAUACCGGAUAUAAUUGCAUUGAAUCCCUCUAACAUUGGCAUCAACCAUAAAAAUAGCAUUCAAAACUAAAAAGAUAUCAGAUGUUGAACACAAAAGUUAUAAUUUUCAAGUAAAUAUAGGGUUUUACAGAUGGUCACUCUUGGACAGGGAGCUGGAAUCGGCAUAUUGGACAUGAAUUUCUCAAUUCCAACCACCGGAAGAUGCAAUCCGCAUGAUAGAUGUGAG
RNAcentral lists this long non-coding RNA (11862 nucleotides) under Amborella trichopoda. RNAcentral describes it as "long non-coding RNA (ATRI_LNC000341)". The record is from RNAcentral. Lineage: Eukaryota; Viridiplantae; Streptophyta; Magnoliopsida; Amborellales; Amborellaceae.